Molecule: unclassified non-coding RNA, 271 nt
Filed under: fungal sp.
Lineage: Eukaryota; Fungi
Description: partial internal transcribed spacer region
Rfam family: Eukaryotic small subunit ribosomal RNA (bases 1-46)
Source: RNAcentral
AAGUCGUAACAAGGUUUCCGUAGGUGAACCUGCGGAAGGAUCAUCAACAAAUCUAAAGUUGUUUGGCCUAGCCAACAAUUAUACCAAUGUGAAUUGAGGCCUCGGCCUUUUAUUUUUUUUUGAACACUGUAAGUGAGGUAACUUUCUUUUACUUUUUUGUAGAAGAAGGUAUGCUCUUUUGCUUUGUGAUAAAAAAUAUUAACGAGUAAACCAGAGUCUAUUAAAAAAUUAUAAAUCAUAAUAACUUUUAACAAUGGAUCUCUUGGCUCUU